Molecule: ribosomal RNA, 1460 nt
Filed under: Salmonella enterica subsp. enterica serovar Typhimurium
Lineage: Bacteria; Pseudomonadati; Pseudomonadota; Gammaproteobacteria; Enterobacterales; Enterobacteriaceae
Description: partial 23S ribosomal RNA
Rfam family: Bacterial large subunit ribosomal RNA
Source: RNAcentral
CCAAAGUCAUGGUUAAGUGGGAAACGAUGUGGGAAGGCCCAGACAGCCAGGAUGUUGGCUUAGAAGCAGCCAUCAUUUAAAGAAAGCGUAAUAGCUCACUGGUCGAGUCGGCCUGCGCGGAAGAUGUAACGGGGCUAAACCAUGCACCGAAGCUGCGGCAGCGAACGUAUCACCCAAGACAACUUUACGGAGUUGACGAUUGACGGAGCGAAGCGACGUCAAAGCGUUCAUUAAAGUCGAGUUGGCUUAGGGAUACGUUCGUUGGGUAGGGGAGCGUUCUGUAAGCCUGUGAAGGUGUGUCGUGAGGCAUGCUGGAGGUAUCAGAAGUGCGAAUGCUGACAUAAGUAACGAUAAAGCGGGUGAAAAGCCCGCUCGCCGGAAGACCAAGGGUUCCUGUCCAACGUUAAUCGGGGCAGGGUGAGUCGACCCCUAAGGCGAGGCCGAAAGGCGUAGUCGAUGGGAAACGGGUUAAUAUUCCCGUACUUGGUGUUACUGCGAAGGGGGGACGGAGAAGGCUAUGUUGGCCGGGCGACGGUUGUCCCGGUUUAAGCGUGUAGGUGUGUGUUCCAGGUAAAUCCGGUUCACUUUAACACUGAGGCGUGACGACGAGGCACUACGGUGCUGAAGCAACAAAUGCCCUGCUUCCAGGAAAAGCCUCUAAGCAUCAGGUAACAUCAAAUCGUACCCCAAACCGACACAGGUGGUCAGGUAGAGAAUACCAAGGCGCUUGAGAGAACUCGGGUGAAGGAACUAGGCAAAAUGGUGCCGUAACUUCGGGAGAAGGCACGCUGACACGUAGGUGAAGUGAUUUACUCAUGGAGCUGAAGUCAGUCGAAGAUACCAGCUGGCUGCAACUGUUUAUUAAAAACACAGCACUGUGCAAACACGAAAGUGGACGUAUACGGUGUGACGCCUGCCCGGUGCCGGAAGGUUAAUUGAUGGGGUCAGCGCAAGCGAAGCUCCUGAUCGAAGCCCCGGUAAACGGCGGCCGUAACUAUAACGGUCCUAAGGUAGCGAAAUUCCUUGUCGGGUAAGUUCCGACCUGCACGAAUGGCGUAAUGAUGGCCAGGCUGUCUCCACCCGAGACUCAGUGAAAUUGAACUCGCUGUGAAGAUGCAGUGUACCCGCGGCAAGACGGAAAGACCCCGUGAACCUUUACUAUAGCUUGACACUGAACAUUGAGCCUUGAUGUGUAGGAUAGGUGGGAGGCUUUGAAGUGUGGACGCCAGUCUGCAUGGAGCCGACCUUGAAAUACCACCCUUUAAUGUUUGAUGUUCUAACGUGGACCCGUAAUCCGGGUUGCGGACAGUGUCUGGUGGGUAGUUUGACUGGGGCGGUCUCCUCCUAAAGAGUAACGGAGGAGCACGAAGGUUGGCUAAUCCUGGUCGGACAUCAGGAGGUUAGUGCAAUGGCAUAAGCCAGCUUGACUGCGAGCGUGACGGCGCGAGCAGGUGCGAAAG